UUUUUUUUUCAAGUUUGCCUUUAAUGAGAUCACCUUGGUCUCGUGACCUUGGUCAUAGAUUUAAAAGAUUAGUUCGGGUCGACUUUGAUCUUUUUUUAAAGUUUUUUUUCAAAUAUUUUUUUUGCCGGUAUUUUUUUUGCUUUGCUAUUUAUAGGGUCAUCCUAAUUUCAUGUCCUAUGUCAUGUGUUUGAUUUGUUCACCUAGGUUAGCUACCGGGAUCACUCUAGGUUUUUU
RNAcentral lists this long non-coding RNA (234 nucleotides) under Populus trichocarpa (black cottonwood). RNAcentral describes it as "long non-coding RNA (PTRI_LNC000154)". The record is from RNAcentral. Lineage: Eukaryota; Viridiplantae; Streptophyta; Magnoliopsida; Malpighiales; Salicaceae.